CCUACGGGCGGCAGCAGUGGGGAAUAUUGGACAAUGGGGGGAACCCUGAUCCAGCCAUGCCGCGUGUGUGAGGAAGGCCCUCGGGUUGUAAAGCACUUUCAGUGAGGAAGAACGCCUGGUGGUUAAUACCCAUCAGGAAAGACAUCACUCACAGAAGAAGCACCGGCUAACUCCGUGCCAGCAGCCGCGGUAAUACGGAGGGUGCGAGCGUUAAUCGGAAUUACUGGGCGUAAAGCGCGCGUAGGUGGCUUGAUAAGCCGGUUGUGAAAGCCCCGGGCUCAACCUGGGAACGGCAUCCGGAACUGUCAAGCUAGAGUGCAGGAGAGGAAGGUAGAAUUCCCGGUGUAGCGGUGAAAUGCGUAGAGAUCGGGAGGAAUACCAGUGGCGAAGGCGGCCUUCUGGACUGACACUGACACUGAGGUGCGAAAGCGUGGGUAGCAAACAGGAUUAGAUACCCCUGUAGUC
Molecule: ribosomal RNA, 465 nt
Filed under: Vreelandella stevensii
Lineage: Bacteria; Pseudomonadati; Pseudomonadota; Gammaproteobacteria; Oceanospirillales; Halomonadaceae
Description: partial 16S ribosomal RNA
Rfam family: Bacterial small subunit ribosomal RNA
Source: RNAcentral